GGCUGGGAUAGGAGGGGUGUUGACGUGCCCUGUACCGCAAAUCGUGACUGGCGGUCCGAACGCCUUUGGGCGGCGCAAUCGAGCCCGGAGUUUCCCUCGCAUGGACGUCGAUGUCUCGCCCUUGAGUGACUCGGGUUGCCGUGAACUGUACCCGGAAGGGGACAGGAAUCGCAUAACUGGGGAAUCAGGUCAGGCCGGGAACGGAGCAGCCCUACUCAGGGCCAUGGGUGCCUCAGGGAUGCGGGGCGGAGGAAGUGCGAGGGUUAGGCUCUGGGAAGCGAGCGUCCACCGAGGGCCCUCCCACUC
RNAcentral lists this signal recognition particle RNA (306 nucleotides) under Methanobacteriota archaeon. RNAcentral's name for it is "Euryarchaeota archaeon signal recognition particle sRNA". It matches the Rfam family "Archaeal signal recognition particle RNA". Lineage: Archaea; Methanobacteriati; Methanobacteriota. RNAcentral also lists the same sequence under 2 other names. The record is from RNAcentral.